GCCCGGCUAGCUCAGUCGGUAGAGCAUGAGACUCAUAAUCUCAGGGUCGUGGGUUCGAGCCCUACGUUGGGCG
Molecule: transfer RNA, 73 nt
Filed under: Rhipicephalus microplus (southern cattle tick)
Lineage: Eukaryota; Metazoa; Arthropoda; Arachnida; Ixodida; Ixodidae
Description: tRNA-Met
Rfam family: tRNA
About the family: Transfer RNA (tRNA) molecules are approximately 80 nucleotides in length. Their secondary structure includes four short double-helical elements and three loops (D, anti-codon, and T loops). Further hydrogen bonds mediate the characteristic L-shaped molecular structure. tRNAs have two regions of fundamental functional importance: the anti-codon, which is responsible for specific mRNA codon recognition, and the 3' end, to which the tRNAs corresponding amino acid is attached (by aminoacyl-tRNA synthetases). tRNAs cope with the degeneracy of the genetic code in two manners: having more than one tRNA (with a specific anti-codon) for a particular amino acid; and 'wobble' base-pairing, i.e. permitting non-standard base-pairing at the 3rd anti-codon position.
Source: Rfam by way of RNAcentral